Molecule: long non-coding RNA, 3181 nt
Filed under: Sus scrofa (pig)
Lineage: Eukaryota; Metazoa; Chordata; Mammalia; Artiodactyla; Suidae
Description: lncRNA (ENSSSCG00000056506.1)
Source: RNAcentral
AUUCAGUGCCAACAUGAAAAUCCCAAGGCGAACUUGAAAAGCUCUUUCAGAGCUCAGGGGGAAAGAACUAAUAGAUAAAAGCAGGAAGAAUUAGAGAGAUUUGGAGGACAGGAAACCCAGAUAAAAUUUAAGAGCUAUGGCGAUUACUGAGGAAAAAUGAAUGGAACAAAAUGUAAAAACUGGAAGUAUGUUGAAGGAAUCUGUGUGAAUUUGAAAAAGGCAUCUGAAUUUCAAGAUUGAAAUGGCUUUCUACAUUACAGGCAACACACACACACACACUCUGCCUCAUCCCUUCCACCACAUGAGGAACCAGGGAGGAGGUGACCAUUUGUGAACCAGGAGGCAGGUUCUCCCCAGACGCCAAAACUGACAGAGCCUUGAUCUUGGAUAUCUCAGCCCUUCAGAACUGCGAGAAAUGCCUGUCUGGUUUUUCUAAGCCACCCAGUCUAUGGUAUUUUUGUUACAGCAGCCUGAAUGGACUAAGAUAGUCUCCCUGGUACCUUCAUUCAGCUAAAUACCUGCCCCUCCCAGGUGGAAGAGGGGGAAAUGGGCCGACCUACUGGGCGGGUAGAGUUUCUCCUUUCCUCUCUCUAGCUGGACCUCUUUAAAUACAUAUCUUUAAUCUAGAUCAUAAAAACAGUUGGUUCAGGAUGUGUUGGUGUAUGAGGGGGAUUAAGAAAGGUAGACCAAGCUUUCUUUAGAUCAUGCUUGGGAUUUCAAGGUGUCAUCUGCAGCGGAAUCCUAGUUUUGAAUUCUAGAGGCUGAAUUUGACUUUGGUUUCCUUCUAUGCUUUCUUUCUCUAAUAAACCCCUCCAGAGAGAUGGGGCGUUAGAGACUGAUUAGGACUGACUAGGUUGAAGGCUAUUCACAGAAAAAGGCAGAAUGUUAUCAAGUUACCUUCAUAUCAGAUGAUCCAAAUUUAUAUAUUUUGUAUUAUAUGUAUAUCAUGUGUAAAUAUAUAGAGUUCAACAAGUUGUGAACCAUGAUUAUUUCUGAGUAGGAGUCUAAUAGCUAGUUUUUUCCCCUUAUAUUAGCCUGAAAAUUUAUUUUUUCCAAGCUCACUAUAAUGCUCAUGUAUUGCUUUUGUCAUAAAAACACAAUAACUGUUGCUUAAAAAUAUUGUAAAGGUGAAAAGUGCAAGGACUUAUCAUAGCCAAAACAGACAGUAUGUGACAAAAUUCAAAAUGGUGAUAAUAAACUUUAGGACAGAAAUGUAAGUUUCAAUACAGUAAUAAGUCUGUACAAUACUUAAAGGUCAAAAGUAUAAUUUUCCUUUAAAAAUUGAAUGUGCUUAUUUUUAUUUUUUUAAUUGAAAAAGAUGUAUUAAAAUAUUCAUGAAAGUACAGCAAUUGAAAAAGAAAGUAAUGAACUUGAUUUUUUUUUUAACCUAGCUGGGUACGUUUCUCCUGAAAAACUACAGAUAUCGAUUACAGUUUAAUCUCAAGAAAUCCCUUUUAGGUACCCUAUGUGUUUAUUUUUAAAUAAUCAUAAUAUUCAGGUAGCAACUUCCACUCCUUUGUUCAUAAGUUGCUAUGGCUAUUCAUAGUACUUAUUAGACUAAUAUGUGAAAUCAUAAAAUCGUAUUUGAUGUAAAUGGGCAUUGUUUGCAAUCUUCCCGAAACUGAUCUGAUCAUCCGCUUGCUUCUCCUCCUUACUGACGGCAAAUUCUGACAGGAAAAAGCCAGAAUUCUGUUCCAAACCCUGGCUUUCAUCACUUAGUUCUCUCUCUCUUCAACGGGGAGAAAUGGAAAGGGCGUUAUAAAACAGGAACCAUAGCUUGUUGGGGAAGAUGAAUCACCAAGUGAUGAAUCAAAUCGGGGCCACUGAUAGGGCCCUAAAUCAUAAGGGCAGCCUGUCAAAGGGAACCCCCAGAGGAGAUUUAGAACUUGGCACCACUCAUCCAUCUCAUCCAGGGUUCAUUCGAGAUCCCCUGUGCUCAGGUGACAGGUGAUAUUUGGGGAUAAGGACCUCCUGGGGUUCUUAUCAAAAGCUUCUCGGACUAAUUAGAAAGGAGUCAGUCCUCUGCCUUUCCUGGGAGCUGCGUUCCUCUUGCGAGGCGCUAGAAGCGGAUGUCUCCCUUUAUGUGGGUCGCUCCAGUUCCCGCGCAGCUGUUCAGAAUAAGCAGCCAGCUCUGGGCAGACCCCUCCGCCCUUCUCCCGGAAGGAACAAAAGGUCAGUCGGGCAGUACAGCAAGCGCGCGCUGUCUGAAAACUUCUGGAUUAGGAAACUAGAAAAGACGCUCGGUGUGGAGGAGAGUCGUGACAGGCACGUCCCUGAGCGACAGCCCCGCCUCGCCAGAUCCCCACGCGGAGCCCUCAGACCGCCUCGCUGAUUCCUGAUUUCUAGGCUUGCUUCCUGAGCCUUGGUGCUGGGGAAAAGCUAUGCGCCUGUGAUGUGUUAGGAGGGAAUUUUCUAGAAUCACCUGGUUUUCUCUCUGGCAGUUCCACUGUCUCAGUUUACUCUCUUUCUUAAAGUGGAGUUAGCUGUGGACCAGUGGCCCUAGGUUGAGCCCCUCCUCAUUGAUGGAUGUUCUGUUAACUCUCUUCUUCAGACUUUUUCUUUAGCUCAGUUUAAACAUGGAGUUGUCAUCCACGCCACCAUUUGAGUUUGGCCAGAGAAGUGAACAGAGCACCCAGCAAACUGGUUCAAAUGUAAUGAUGUUAAUUGAGCAGGGGAGGGGCGGGGGAUACAUUGGGGGGAUGGGGUUGGCACAUGCACACUACUAUCUAACAGGGACCUGCUGUAUACACAGGGAGGACUGUUCAAUGUUUUGUAAUAAUUGGUAUGAGAAAAAAGAAUGGAUAUAUAUAUAUAUAUAUAUAAUUCACUUUGCUAUAAAUCUAAAGCUAAUAAUACAACAUUGUAAAUCAACUACACCCCAAUUUUAAAGAAUGUUGUAAAUUUUAAAAUAAUUAUUUUAAAAAAGAUUUCAGGAGUUCCCGUCAUGGCGCAGUGGUUAACGAAUCCGACUAGGAACCAUGAGGUUGCGGGUUCGAGCCCUGGCCUUGCUCAGUGGGUUAAGGAUCCGGCGUUGCCGUGAGCUGUGGUGUAGGUUGCAGACGUGGCUCGGAUCCCGUGUUGCUGUGGCUCUGGUGUAGGCUGGCGGCUACAGCUCCGAUUGGACCCCUAGCCUGGGAACCUCCAUAUGCCGCGGGAGUGGCCCUAGAAACGGCAAAAAGAC